This 426-nucleotide ribosomal RNA is filed under the name uncultured bacterium. RNAcentral's name for it is "bacterial SSU rRNA". It matches the Rfam family "Bacterial small subunit ribosomal RNA", at positions 917 to 1344 of the family's 1533-position model. The record is from RNAcentral.
GGGCCCGCACAAGCGGUGGAGUAUGUGGUUUAAUUCGAUGCAACGCGAAGAACCUUACCAGGGUUUGACAUCCUGCGAAUUUCUGGGAAACCGGAAAGUGCCUUCGGGAGCGCAGUGACAGGUGGUGCAUGGCUGUCGUCAGCUCGUGUCGUGAGAUGUUGGGUUAAGUCCCGCAACGAGCGCAACCCACGUCUUUAGUUGCCAGCAUUUAGUUGGGCACUCUAGAGAGACCGCCGGUGACAAACCGGAGGAAGGUGUGGAUGACGUCAAGUCAUCAUGCCCCUUACGUCCUGGGCUACACACGUACUACAAUGCUACGGACAAAGAGCAGCAAGUUCGCGAGGACAAGCAAAUCUCAUAAACCGUGGCUCAGUUCAGAUCGUAGGCUGCAACUCGCCUACGUGAAGGAGGAAUCGCUAGUAAUCG